GCCGCGAUAGCUCAGUUGGGAGAGCGUUAGACUGAAGAUCUAAAGGUCCCUGGUUCGAUCCCGGGUCGCGGCA
Transfer RNA from Bodo saltans, 73 nucleotides. It matches the Rfam family "tRNA". Rfam says of the family: Transfer RNA (tRNA) molecules are approximately 80 nucleotides in length. Their secondary structure includes four short double-helical elements and three loops (D, anti-codon, and T loops). The record is from Rfam. NCBI's taxonomy places the organism in Eukaryota, Euglenozoa, Kinetoplastea, Eubodonida, Bodonidae.